RNAcentral lists this ribosomal RNA (1169 nucleotides) under bacterium. RNAcentral's name for it is "partial 23S ribosomal RNA". It matches the Rfam family "Bacterial large subunit ribosomal RNA", at positions 513 to 1665 of the family's 2925-position model. The record is from RNAcentral.
GGUGAAAAGAACCCCUGUUAGGGGAGUGAAAUAGUACCUGAAACCGUGUGCUUACAAGCACUCGGAGCUCCGCUUCGGCGGGGUGACGGGGUGCCUUUUGCUUAAUGAGCCGGCUAGUUAUUUUGCGCGGCCAGGUUAAUCCUGAAACAGGAGGAGCCGGAGCGAAAGCGAGUCCGAACAGGGCGUUAAGUCGCGUAAAAUAGACGCGAAGGUGGGUGAUCUACCCUUGGCCAGGAUGAACUCCGGGUAACACCGGAGGGAGGUCCGAACCGAUGUUGGUUGAAAACAGCUCGGAUGAGCUGAGGGUAGGGGUGAAAGGCUAAUCAAACUCACGGAUAGCUCGUUCUCUCCGAAAUAGCUUUAGGGCUAGCCUCGCAUGAAUGGUAAGGGAGGUAGAGCACUGGAUGGCCUAGGGGGCCGAAAGGCCUUCCAAAUCCAACCAAACUCCGAAUUCCCUUAACCACUGUGCGGGAGUAAGACUGCGGGCACUAAGGUUCGUGGUCAAAAGGGAAACAGCCCAGAUCGUCAGCUAAGGUCCCUAAAUGCAAGCUAAGUGGGCAAGGAUGUGAGGAUACAUAGACAACCAGGAUGUUGGCUUAGAAGCAGCCAUCAUUUAAAGAAAGCGUAACAGCUCACUGGUCAAGCGUUCUUGCGCCGACAAUGUAACGGGGCUUAAGCCUGUUACCGAAGCUGCGGACUGUUGGAGCCUUCGGGCUUCAACUUUGGUAGGAGAGCAUUCUCACUCGAGCGAAGCCGCGUCGCGAGGCGCGGUGGACGGAUGAGAAGAGACCCUGCCGGCAUGAGUAGCGAUAACUGCGGUAGAAACCCGCAGCGCCGAAAAUCUAAGGUUUCCUGGGGAAGGUCAGUCCGCUCAGGGUUAGUCGGUCCCUAAGGCGAGGCCGAAUGGCGUAGCCGAUGGAGAGCAGGUCAACAUUCCUGCACCGCCUGAGAGACGUUAUACGAUGGGGGGACGCAGAAGGAUAAGCAUACGCACGUCUGGAAGUGUGCGGCCGCCAGGUAGGGGGAGCCUCUAGGCAAAUCCGGAGGCUCUUAACCCCGAGCACGGCGGGGAAGCUUGGCUACGGCCUUGCCAACUUGCUGAUUCCAUGCUGCCAAGAAAAUCCUCUAAGGAGUUUUUCAGGCGACCGUACCGGAAACCGACACAGGUA